CAGUCGCCGCGGGAAUACGAAGGGGGCUGGCGUUGCUCGGAAUGACUGGGCGUAAAGGGCGCGUAGGCGGAUUGUUUAGUUAGGCGUGAAAUUCCUGGGCUUAACCUGGGGACUGCGCUUAAUACAGGCAGUCUAGAGUGAGGAAGAGGGUUGUGGAAUUCCCAGUGUAGAGGUGAAAUUCGUAGAUAUUGGGAAGAACACCGGUGGCGAAGGCGGCAACCUGGUCCUUGACUGACGCUGAGGCGCGAAAGCGUGGGGAGCAAACAGGAUUAGAUACCCCAGUAGUCCCUGUCUCUUAUAA
This 301-nucleotide ribosomal RNA is filed under the name uncultured bacterium. Its description in RNAcentral is "partial 16S ribosomal RNA". It matches the Rfam family "Bacterial small subunit ribosomal RNA", at positions 509 to 809 of the family's 1533-position model. The record is from RNAcentral.